UGGCCUAGUGGUUAAGGCUACGGAUCACCAAUCCGGAGACGGCGGGUUCGAUUCCCGU
Non-coding RNA from Aedes albopictus (Asian tiger mosquito), 58 nucleotides. NCBI's taxonomy places the organism in Eukaryota, Metazoa, Arthropoda, Insecta, Diptera, Culicidae. The record is from Rfam.